This 379-nucleotide long non-coding RNA is filed under the name Rattus norvegicus (Norway rat). RNAcentral's name for it is "long non-coding RNA NONRATT005001". Lineage: Eukaryota; Metazoa; Chordata; Mammalia; Rodentia; Muridae. The record is from RNAcentral.
CAGAGACGAGAUGACUUGAAUAGGAAAAAAAAAAAGCUCUAACAACUGGAGGCUCUGAAACGGCUUCUGGAAGGCACGAGGCUUUUCAGUAGGGUAUGCGGGAGGAGCCCUUCAUGGUUUAUUUUAUACCGGCGAAAGCAGGACUUCUGGGCACAUCAUCCAGUCUUUGAGAAAUGUUUAGACCAGAGAUGCCUGCUACUGGCAGUGCUUUGUGCCCGGAAUAGGGGAUCUGAGGGUCUUGGGCUGUCCACCUCAGCUCCACUGCACAAUAGAACCCAAGAGUUGGCCCCCCUUCGUGGAAUCAGAGAGCUACAACCUAGAUGAGCAACUGGACUGUGAGGGAAGGAGUCUUGGGCUGAUGAGAUGGCACAGUGUGUAA